RNAcentral lists this ribosomal RNA (275 nucleotides) under uncultured bacterium. RNAcentral's name for it is "partial 16S ribosomal RNA". It matches the Rfam family "Bacterial small subunit ribosomal RNA", at positions 78 to 354 of the family's 1533-position model. The record is from RNAcentral.
CUUUCGCCUGCCGGCGACCGGCGCACGGGUGAGUAACACGUAUCCAACCUGCCUCAUACUCGGGGAUAGCCUUUCGAAAGAAAGAUUAAUACCCGAUGUUAUAGUCCUACCGCAUGAUGGGAUUAUUAAAGAAUUUCGGUAUGGGAUGGGGAUGCGUUCCAUUAGUUAGUUGGCGGGGUAACGGCCCACCAAGACAACGAUGGAUAGGGGUUCUGAGAGGAAGGUCCCCCACAUUGGAACUGAGACACGGUCCAAACUCCUACGGAAGGCAGCAG